This 497-nucleotide ribosomal RNA is filed under the name uncultured bacterium. RNAcentral's name for it is "partial 16S ribosomal RNA". It matches the Rfam family "Bacterial small subunit ribosomal RNA", at positions 28 to 507 of the family's 1533-position model. The record is from RNAcentral.
GAUGAACGCUGGCGGCGUGCCUAAUACAUGCAAGUCGAGCGAACAGACGAGGAGCUUGCUCCUCUGACGUUAGCGGCGGACGUGUGAGUAACACGUGUAUAACCUCCCUAUAAGACUGGGAUAACUUCGGGAAACCGGAUCUAAUACCGGAUAAUAUCUUGAACCGCAUGGUUCAAUAGUGAAAGACGGUUUUGCUGUCACUUAUAGAUGGAUCCGCGCCGCAUUAGCUAGUUGGUAAGGUCACGGCUUACCAAGGCAACGAUGCGUAGCCGACCUGAGAGGGUGGUCGGCCACACUGGAACUGAGACAGGGUCCAGACUCCUACGGGAGGCAGCAGUAGGGAAUCUUCCGCAAUGGGCGAAAGCCUUACAGAGCAACGCCGCGUGAGUGAUGAAAGUCUUCGGAUCGUAAAGCUCUGUUAUUAGGUAAGAACAAAUGUGUAAGGAACUGUGCACGUCUUGACGGUACCUAAUCAGAAAGCCACGGCUAACUACGUG